Molecule: ribosomal RNA, 492 nt
Filed under: uncultured bacterium
Lineage: Bacteria
Description: partial 16S ribosomal RNA
Rfam family: Bacterial small subunit ribosomal RNA
Source: RNAcentral
AGUGAACGCUGGCGGUAGGCCUAACACAUGCAAGUCGAACGGCAGCACAGUAAGAGCUUGCUCUUACGGGUGGCGAGUGGCGGACGGGUGAGGAAUACAUCGGAAUCUACUUUUUCGUGGGGGAUAACGUAGGGAAACUUACGCUAAUACCGCAUACGACCUACGGGUGAAAUCAGGGGAUCUUCUGACCUUGCGCGAUUGAAUGAGCCGAUGUCGGAUUAGCUAGUUGGCGGGGUAAAGGCCCACCAAGGCGACGAUCCGUAGCUGGUCUGAGAGGAUGAUCAGCCACACUGGAACUGAGACACGGUCCAGACUCCUACGGGAGGCAGCAGUGGGGAAUAUUGGACAAUGGGCGCAAGCCUGAUCCAGCCAUACCGCGUGGGUGAAGAAGGCCUUCGGGUUGUAAAGCCCUUUUGUUGGGAAAGAAAAGCAGCAGGUUAAUACCCCGCUGUUCUGACGGUACCCAAAGAAUAAGCACCGGCUAACUUCGUG